RNAcentral lists this ribosomal RNA (327 nucleotides) under uncultured bacterium. RNAcentral's name for it is "bacterial SSU rRNA". It matches the Rfam family "Bacterial small subunit ribosomal RNA", at positions 468 to 793 of the family's 1533-position model. The record is from RNAcentral.
UUUGACGUUAGCGACAGAAGAAGCACCGGCUAACUCCGUGCCAGCAGCCGCGGUUAAUACGGAGGGUGCGAGCGUUAAUCGGAAUUACUGGGCGUAAAGCGCAUGCAGGUGGUUUGUUAAGUCAGAUGUGAAAGCCCCGGGGCUCAACCCUCGGAAUUGCAUUUGAAACUGGCAGGCUAGAGUCUUGUAGAGGGGGUAGAAUUUCAGGUGUAGCGGUGAAAUGCGUAGAGAUCUGAAGGAAUACCAGUGGCGAAGGCGGCCCCCUGGACAAAGACUGACGCUCAGAUGCGAAAGCGUGGGAGCAAACAGGAUUAGAUACCCUGGUAG